This is a long non-coding RNA of Rosa chinensis, 549 nucleotides long. RefSeq lists it as uncharacterized. Lineage: Eukaryota; Viridiplantae; Streptophyta; Magnoliopsida; Rosales; Rosaceae. The transcript is spliced from 3 exons. The record is from RefSeq and is a predicted model, not a curated record.
AAUAGGGGAACAGAACAUGAGUGAGGGAGAUAGAGAGAAAGGAGUAGGAUAGAAAGAAAGAAAUAAAUAGAAAGGAAAGGAAACAAAAGAAAAAAAGACACUGGGAGAAAGAAAAGGAUAUGUGAGAAUGAAAAUAGAGAGGGAAGAAGAGGAAAGAAAAGGGGUAGAAGAAAGAGAAGGGAAGGCAUGAUUACAAAGAUUAGUUUCGGAGAAUUAGAUUUGGGAUUCAAAGGAACAUGUAUCUAUACAAUAGCUUGAAAUCCAGUCUUGCAGGUUAUUAAACACAAGAACUAUGAAGAUUAGUGAUCGAAAGCAAUUAGAGUUAGUUGGAGUUUUGUAUAUGUAAGAUCAUUAUUCCGGAAGUGAGUAUUCUUAGUGAUCUUGAGUUGGAUUUAUCCUUAUACCGAAAUGAGAAGUCAAUUCCAUUAUCAAAGUGUCGAUUUUAUUUUUUCUAUUCGUUUAUUUUUAUUUUUACUCACACCUCGGAUUUCGGGAAAUAUUUAAAAAAAAAUUUGACCCGGAUUAGGGGCGUGACACACCACCCCAGGC